RNAcentral lists this long non-coding RNA (292 nucleotides) under Elaeis guineensis (African oil palm). RNAcentral's name for it is "long non-coding RNA (EGUI_LNC006639)". The record is from RNAcentral. Lineage: Eukaryota; Viridiplantae; Streptophyta; Magnoliopsida; Arecales; Arecaceae.
UGGCUCGCUAUGCUCUUGGUCGGAUUGCGGCCCGACCCCCCUCUAUCGUUGCUUACAUCGCCGUGGUCUCAACUGCCUUGCCUACAUCGUCCCACUUUCGGCCUAACCGCGCCUUCGCCGCCUCUAGACUCUAGUCUUCAGCUCCAUCCGAUCGCACCCUCAGUUGCCUUCGGCCCUCCAUUUCAUUGGGAUCUCUCGAUUGCCUCCAACUCCUUCACCUCUGGCAAGUCAUCGCGGUCUUCGCUUCCGGUAAGCCUCCGGCAUUGCUAAGAAGAAGGCAAGGAGAAGGCCG